Molecule: ribosomal RNA, 253 nt
Filed under: uncultured bacterium
Lineage: Bacteria
Description: partial 16S ribosomal RNA
Rfam family: Bacterial small subunit ribosomal RNA
Source: RNAcentral
UACGAAGGGGGCUAGCGUUGCUCGGAAUCACUGGGCGUAAAGCGCACGUAGGUGGAUUGCUAAGUCAGGGGUGAAAUCCUGGAGCUCAACUCCAGAACUGCCUUUGAUACUGGCGACCUUGAGUCCGGGAGAGGUGAGUGGAACUGCGAGUGUAGAGGUGAAAUUCGUAGAUAUUCGCAAGAACACCAGUGGCGAAGGCGGCUCACUGGCCCGGUACUGACGCUGAGGUGCGAAAGCGUGGGGAGCAAACAGG